AAAAAAAUCGGUUUGUGUAUAUAAAUUAAUGUGUAUGUUUUGAAGGGUGAUUUUGUUGGUUGGUUUUCUUGUGUUUGCCUGAGGAGCAUUGGGAGUCAUCUGCCGGGUAUUUAAGGAGCAGUGUGGCAGCUCUCAGGUGUCAGAUUGUUGUCUCGACCUUAAGUGGUAAAUCAUCAACCGGCUUCUAUGUACUACUUUGAUUUGCACGACAUUCACGGAUCGUCGUUUCCUCUGCUUCCUGACAGUUUGCGACCCUCACUGCCCAGCCAUUCUCAGUCUGGAGCUAUCCUGCCUAACUCUCCAUGCUACCUCACUUCAUCUCUUCCAGAUCUCAUCCUCCCUGCUCACCUGCGCUGCCUGGGAUCCAGCCUUAAAUACCUCACCCAAGCAUCUAGUAAAUGUGUGGCAAAUGUUACCCAGUCUCCUUAAGUAAACAUGAGCUGCAGCCUUCUGAGUGUCAGAUGCAGCUGUGGACGCGGGCCUCUCCUGGCACUGCCCCUGUGCUCCACCUCUCUAUGCAAACUGCCCCCACAGACACAUGAACGCAUGAAGACUAUUGUUCAUAAAAAGGUGGAUGAGAAAAGAUGCAAAAUGGAGCCCUCUACAUUGUAUCCUUUACGGUAACUGGAGCUGUUGUUUCUCUAUGAAAUAGACAAAAAAGAAAUAAAGUCAGAUAAUGUAAUGGUGCAUGCUGCAUGCAAAUUCAAUAAAUGGAUGGAGAACUAAUAUUAAAUGCAGGAGUGGUUAAUUCAU
Long non-coding RNA from Oreochromis niloticus (Nile tilapia), 753 nucleotides. RefSeq lists it as uncharacterized. NCBI's taxonomy places the organism in Eukaryota, Metazoa, Chordata, Actinopteri, Cichliformes, Cichlidae. The record is from RefSeq and is a predicted model, not a curated record. The transcript is spliced from 3 exons.